Molecule: ribosomal RNA, 409 nt
Filed under: Actinomycetes bacterium
Lineage: Bacteria; Bacillati; Actinomycetota; Actinomycetes
Description: Actinobacteria bacterium partial 16S ribosomal RNA
Rfam family: Bacterial small subunit ribosomal RNA
Source: RNAcentral
UGGGGAAUAUUGCACAAUGGGCGGAAGCCUGAUGCAGCGACGCCGCGUGGGGGAUGAAGGCCUUCGGGUUGUAAACUCCUUUCGACAGGGACGAAGCUUUUGUGACGGUACCUGUAUAAGAAGCACCGGCUAACUACUUGCCAGCAGCCGCGGUAAUACGUAGGGUGCGAGCGUUGUCCGGAAUUACUGGGCGUAAAGAGCUCGUAGGUGGUUUGUCGCGUCGUCUGUGAAAUUCCGGGGCUUAACUCCGGGCGUGCAGGCGAUACGGGCUGACUUGAGUGCUGUAGGGGAGACUGGAAUUCAUGGUGUAGCGGUGAAAUGCGCAGAUAUAAGGAGGAACACCGAUGGCGAAGGCAGGUCUCUGGGCAGUAACUGACGCUGAGGAGCGAAAGCAUGGGUAGCGAACAGG